RNAcentral lists this microRNA (23 nucleotides) under Mus musculus (house mouse). Its description in RNAcentral is "mmu-miR-7019-3p". The record is from miRBase by way of RNAcentral. Lineage: Eukaryota; Metazoa; Chordata; Mammalia; Rodentia; Muridae.
UCACCUUGGCCGCCUCUCUGCAG